GCUGGGCAUAGUGGUGUAUGCCUGUAAUCCCAGCUACUCAGGAAGCUGAGGCAGGAGAAUCGCUUGAACCUGGGCGGCGGAGUUUGCAGUGAGUCAAGAUCACACCACUGCAUUCCAGCCUGGGUGACAGAGUGAGACUCUGUCUCAA
This 148-nucleotide non-coding RNA is filed under the name Chlorocebus sabaeus (green monkey). Lineage: Eukaryota; Metazoa; Chordata; Mammalia; Primates; Cercopithecidae. The record is from Rfam by way of RNAcentral.